AUGGCCGCCCCCCUGCAUCGACUCCCCACACCUCCCCGCCCUCAAGUGGCUCCUGCCCUCCACUACCUGGAUCCGCGUCGCCCCAUCCGCAUCCCCACCCACCUGCUGCCGCCAUCCACUCUCGCCGCCCCCGUCCACCACCUCGUACCACGCCGCCGACCACCAUCCACUCUCGCGUGCACACGACCUCCUCGCUCUUCGCGACUGCUCCACGUAUGCCGCCUGAUUCCGUCGAGCCCCGGCGUCUCCCGCCACCGCGCAGCACCGCGCCGAGCUUGCCUCGUCCCGCUGCGUCCUCUACUCCGGCUGGAUCUGCCAUGUCCGCUGAGGAGCGGGUGGGGAAGCACCAACCAAGGCCAUGUCAUGGAGGUUCUGCUCAGGCAACCCUGCACUGCUUGCAGCCAACGCCGUGGAGGUAUCCAAACCUCAGAGGACUACAUGUUCUAUGCCAUCUCGGCGGAGUACCCUGAGUUCAGCAACAAGGAGAAGACACUCAUGCUGCAGUUCACGGUGAAUCAUGAGCAAAAGCUUGUCUGUGGUGGUGGUUACAUCAAGUUGCUCAGAGAUGUUUUGCAUCAGCCUGUCAUUGCUAAGGAAGAAGCAGUACUUGAAGAAGCAGACUACAUGUUUUCUUGCUGUGAAGCACUAGAUAGUUCUAUUUAUUCUUUCAUGUUCUAG
RNAcentral lists this ribosomal RNA (678 nucleotides) under Triticum aestivum (bread wheat). Its description in RNAcentral is "partial small subunit ribosomal RNA". Lineage: Eukaryota; Viridiplantae; Streptophyta; Magnoliopsida; Poales; Poaceae. The record is from RNAcentral.